AUUGAACGCUGGCGGCAUGCCUUACACAUGCAAGUCGAACGGCAGCACGGGUGCUUGCACCUGGUGGCGAGUGGCGAACGGGUGAGUAAUACAUCGGAACAUGUCCUGUAGUGGGGGAUAGCCCGGCGAAAGCCGGAUUAAUACCGCAUACGAUCUACGGAUGAAAGCGGGGGACCUUCGGGCCUCGCGCUAUAGGGUUGGCCGAUGGCUGAUUAGCUAGUUGGUGGGGUAAAGGCCUACCAAGGCGACGAUCAGUAGCUGGUCUGAGAGGACGACCAGCCACACUGGGACUGAGACACGGCCCAGACUCCUACGGGAGGCAGCAGUGGGGAAUUUUGGACAAUGGGCGAAAGCCUGAUCCAGCAAUGCCGCGUGUGUGAAGAAGGCCUUCGGGUUGUAAAGCACUUUUGUCCGGAAAGAAAUCAUUGGCCCUAAUACGGUCGGGGGAUGACGGUACCGGAAGAAUAAACACCGGCGAACUACGU
RNAcentral lists this ribosomal RNA (485 nucleotides) under uncultured bacterium. RNAcentral's name for it is "partial 16S ribosomal RNA". It matches the Rfam family "Bacterial small subunit ribosomal RNA", at positions 30 to 506 of the family's 1533-position model. The record is from RNAcentral.